GAUGAACGCUGGCGGCGUGCCUAAUACAUGCAAGUCGAGCGAACGGACGAGAAGCUUGCUUCUCUGAUGUUAGCGGCGGACGGGUGAGUAACACGUGGAUAACCUACCUAUAAGACUGGGAUAACUUCGGGAAACCGGAGCUAAUACCGGAUAAUAUUUUGAACCGCAUGGUUCAAAAGUGAAAGGCGGUCUUGCUGUCACUAAUAGAUGGAUCCGCGCUGCAUUAGCUAGUUGGUAAGGUAACGGCUUACCAAGGCAACGAUGCAUAGCCGACCUGAGAGGGUGAUCGGCCACACUGGAACUGAGACACGGUCCAGACUCCUACGGGAGGCAGCAGUAGGGAAUCUUCCGCAAUGGGCGAAAGCCUGACGGAGCAACGCCGCGUGAGUGAUGAAGGUCUUCGGAUCGUAAAACUCUGUUAUUAGGGAAGAACAUAUGUGUAAGUAACUGUGCACAUCUUGACGGUACCUAAUCAGAAAGCCACGGCUAACUACGUG
This 497-nucleotide ribosomal RNA is filed under the name uncultured bacterium. RNAcentral describes it as "partial 16S ribosomal RNA". It matches the Rfam family "Bacterial small subunit ribosomal RNA", at positions 28 to 507 of the family's 1533-position model. The record is from RNAcentral.